Molecule: ribosomal RNA, 468 nt
Filed under: uncultured bacterium
Lineage: Bacteria
Description: partial 16S ribosomal RNA
Rfam family: Bacterial small subunit ribosomal RNA
Source: RNAcentral
GACGAACGCUGGCGGCGCGCCUAACACAUGCAAGUCGAACGGAGCUGAGAGAAGCUUGCUUUUCUUAGCUUAGUGGCGAACGGGUGAGUAACGCGUGAGUAACCUGCCCUGGAGUGGGGGACAUCAGUUGGAAACGACUGCUAAUACCGCAUAAGCCCACGAUCCGGCAUCGGAUUGAGGGAAAAGGAUUUAUUCGCUUCAGGAUGGACUCGCGUCCAAUUAGCUAGUUGGUGAUGUAACGGCCCACCAAGGCGACGAUUGGUAGCCGGACUGAGAGGUUGAACGGCCACAUUGGGAAUGAGACACGGCCCAGAAUCCUACGGGAGGGAGCAGUGGGGGAUAUUGCACAAUGGGGGAAACCCUGAUGCAGCGACGCCGCGUGGAGGAAGAAGGUUUUCGGAUUGUAAACUCCUGUCGUUAGGGACGAUAAUGACGGUACCUAACAAGAAAGCACCGGCUAACUACGUG